This 378-nucleotide ribosomal RNA is filed under the name uncultured bacterium. Its description in RNAcentral is "bacterial SSU rRNA". It matches the Rfam family "Bacterial small subunit ribosomal RNA", at positions 30 to 407 of the family's 1533-position model. The record is from RNAcentral.
AUUGAACGCUGGCGGCAUGCCUUGCACAUGCAAGUCGAACGGCAGCACGGACUUCGGUCUGGUGGCGAGUGGCGAACGGGUGAGUAAUGUAUCGGAACGUACCUUUCAGUGGGGGAUAACGUAGCGAAAGUUACGCUAAUACCGCAUAUUCUGUGAGCAGGAAAGCAGGGGAUCGCAAGACCUUGCGCUGAUUGAGCGGCCGAUAUCAGAUUAGCUAGUUGGUGGGGUAAAGGCCUACCAAGGCUACGAUCUGUAGCGGGUCUGAGAGGAUGAUCCGCCACACUGGAACUGAGACACGGUCCAGACUCCUACGGGAGGCAGCAGUGGGGAAUUUUGGACAAUGGGGGGCAACCCUGAUCCAGCCAUGCCGCGUGAGUG